AUGACGGCCUUACCUGGAACCGAUCCCUAUGUACACACUCUUGCACCGAUGCGUGCCACAGCUUUAAUUAAUUGUUACUCCACCUACGACGAGCUCCACGUCUAUGUUUGUGAACCUAUCGGAAAGUUAUGCCCUUGGCAUUUGGAACGAGAUGCAGACAUGAGAAGGGUCACAGUAGGCUACGUUUGCAGUUGCCGUCCCUGUCGACGCACAAAUGCAGUUUGUAUAGCCUUGGCAUUUGGAACCACCAUCCGGAGGCGCAAUAAAGCCGCGCACACCAAGCCCCUUGACCCGCCGAUGAAUUCUGGUUGCCAGCCCUACUUGGACCUGUUUUCACCGUGCACUCCAUCCAUCCACCGCGCCGACUCCCUUCCCUUCUUGGCUAAGCUCCCAAUAAAUUGGGCCGUCGCCGUCUCGCCCUGCACCGGCCUCUCUGUCCGUCCAUCGUAG
RNAcentral lists this ribosomal RNA (450 nucleotides) under Triticum aestivum (bread wheat). RNAcentral describes it as "partial small subunit ribosomal RNA". The record is from RNAcentral. Lineage: Eukaryota; Viridiplantae; Streptophyta; Magnoliopsida; Poales; Poaceae.